This is a non-coding RNA of Arachis ipaensis, 3061 nucleotides long. Lineage: Eukaryota; Viridiplantae; Streptophyta; Magnoliopsida; Fabales; Fabaceae. The record is from RefSeq and is a predicted model, not a curated record.
UGGUUUGGGUUUAGAAAUAUUUGCAAGGUUUAUAAUAUAGAAUGGAAAAGGGAAAGCGUUGUUUUUGAUGAUAGAGAUGGUAAAUUUGCUUGAUUUUACAAUGAUAGAACUAGCUAAUUGUAGCGCACACCAAGAUGAUUUAUACAUUAAUGCAGCUCAUUACUUCAUGAAGAAUAACCGAUCAAAGGAGAAGCUAUUUUGCUGAUAGGUGGAGGUUCAAGUGAGGAAGUUGUAUUGUGUUAGCAGGGCCCUUUCAACUCUACCAAUUAAUCUCGAGAAUGCUGCUCGAAGUGAAGCUGAAAUUGAGAAGACACUUCAGGCUGGUGAGUGGUGAACAACUUGUUCGUGUUAAUCAGGAUACACGUUUGAACUUUAGAGUACUUGACCUCAGAACCCCAACUAAUCAAAGGAAUUUUUCGCAUUCAACCACAAGAUGGAAAUGCAUUUAGACAAUUCUUAUUAUCUGGAGGCUCUGUUGAAAUCCACACUCCAAAGUUGAUUGCUGGGUCAAGUGAGGGUGGAGCUGCUGUUUUCAGACUGGGCUAUAAAGGGCACCCUGCUUGCCUUAUCCAAUCACCACAGCUUCAUAGGCAAAUGGCAAUAUGUGCUUAUUUUGGCCGUGUUUUUGAGAUUAGUCCUGCGUUUAGGGCUGAGGAUUCCUUCACACACAGACAUCUGUGUGAGUUUCCUGGUCUUGAUGUUGAAAUGGAGAUUAAGAAGCAUUAUUAUGAGAUUAUGGAUAAAGUCGAUAGGUUGUUUGUCUCAAUAUUUGAUAGCUUGAACCAGAAUUGUAAGAAGGCUCUUGAAGCUGUGCAGUGGCACACCAGUACCCAUUUGAACCUUUAAAGUAUCUUUGUCAGACUCUACGGCUUACAUAUGAAGAAGGGGUUCAGAUGCUCAAGGUAAGCUUAAAAAAACUUUCUUAGUACCUAAUUCACAAAUCAUGAACAAUUUUUUUUUUUUUUUGAAUUGGGGGACUUUCUUCUUUCUUAAUAAGAUAUAUGCUCCGUAAACAUGGAGGGGUUAUACAAGAACAGUGGUAAUAACAAAGUCUUGGGCCACUAGUUUAGGCAUGCUACGUGGAUCAGACGAUGCUAUUGCAUUAUGAAAAAAGUUAUGUUGUUCUAUUUUCUAAUUUCUAAUUUCAACUAAAAAGUCAACGAAAACAUUAUUCACAAUAGUCAAAGGUUUAUUAGAAAAUGUGAUGGAGUCCAUAUUGUUAAUUGAAAAAGAAUUGGGGUUAAGGAAAAUUUAUGUCAAAGACCUCAUUCUCAGUCCGUAUCAUAAUCUUGUGUGCUUGCAAGUUAAAACGGGUUUAUAGUCCCAAAAAGGAUGAAAUUAUUGUCUUGAUGCCUAAUCAGGUUCCCUGUGUUCUGUUCUAAAGGGUGCUUCAUUGAUGCUGAGGCUUCCCCUCUAUUUUCCUCUUAUAGAUGGUUCUUGGUUUUCUGUGUUCUGUUCUAAGGGAUGCUUCAUUGAUGCUGAGGCUUCCCCUCUAUUUUUCCUCUUAUAGAUGGUUCUCGAUUUUCUUUGCAAUUGUUGAUUGACCUCAACACUCAGAAUUUUGUUUAUCUUCAUUAAUAAGAAUAUUAGAAAAUGGUAUGUCUUGCAUGUACUUAUAAUUUUGCUUCAUAAGAUGCUGGAGAAGAGAUUGAACCUUUCGGUGACUUUAAUACCGAAGCUGAAAGGAAGUUGAGGCAGCUAGUUAUAGAGAAGUAACUCUCUCUCUUAGAGAUUGAACCUUUUGGUGACUUGAAUACUGAAGCUGAAAGGAAGUUGGGGCAGCUAGUUUUACUCUAUCUCUCUCGUCACACACACAACAAAGAAGUGUAAUAAGAGUAAAGUGACAAAUAGAUUCUCGAAGAUGUUGACCUUGGACUAAUUAGUCCUUGAAGAAGAAAAAAGUAUCAAUUAGGUCCUCCAAGAUAGCAAACGGUGGACAUGUAUCUCCUUCUGUCGAUGAAUAGUGUAAAACAAAACCGAAUUGUCCAUAUAUUUCAUUAUUUACAGUGGUGCAUGUCUCGUUAUUGUCACGUGAGCAGAAAAACGAUGUAGUUUUAGACAGUGAAGCAUUUAGUAUCUUGAGUUUUCAUAUACAGUUUAGCAGCUAAUCUAUUUAUAACAAAUCCUAUGAAGUUUCGUUCUAACAAUUGUUAUCUACAUGACUAUCUUUCAUAGAUAAACAUGUCAAAGUAAUUAACAGUACAUAUAAGCAUCACUGUUAAGUUUUAGUUGAUGAAUUGAUAUAAAGACAUCAUGUAUCCACUGUUUGCUAUCCUGGUUGACCAAAUUGGUACUUUUUUUUUCUCUAGGGACUAAUUACUCCGAAGUCAAAAUCUUCAAGAACCUAAUUGUCACUCUACUCAAUAUUUUAUUUAUUUUUUAAUGACCUAUUAUUUUGGAUUAACUUGUUCUAAUUUUUGUUUAUAGUUUUGGUACGGAGUUCUAUAGUACCCCUUUGUUGUCGGACCAUUUUACACAAUGCCUUGCUAUAGUAAUCCACAGUACUCCAACUCAUUUGAUGUCUUUAUUAGAGAUGAGGAGAUCAUUUCAGGAACUCAGUGUGUCCACGAUCCAGAAAUGUUGGAAAAAUGGGCUGAGUCUUGUGGCAUUAAUGUCAAGACAAUAUCUACAUAUUUUGAUUCUUUCAAGCAUUUUUCAUGGCCUCUUUCUCGGUUCCUCUUUGCCAUAUUCAGUGAUUCUCUUCGUAACUCUGAUCUGGUGCACCAACACACCAUGGCUUUUGGAGAUGGAUUGGAGCCCGUAGUAAUGCUCUUCUGUGGCCUGAAUAACGUUCGAAGAGUAUAGAAUGAUAGAAUGGUGUUUGAUUGCAUUAGGUAGGUAGUGUUUCGCACUGGGUAUUUUAUUCACUAGUGGUCAUAUGAUUAGGAUGGUGCAUUUUGAGUUUCCUUUAACCGAAGUUUGAGGCAAGACGUAAUAUGAAUGUCUCCCCGUUUGGUACCAAAUUUUGUUUCAUGUUUAUUUGAUGAGUGAUGAAUUUCUACAUAAUGGUGGAAACAUGACCAAGAAAAUAAAAGGUAAAAAUAAAGAACCUUGUUUGGCA